AGUGAACGCUGGCGGUAGGCCUAACACAUGCAAGUCGAACGGCAGCACAGAGUAGCUUGCUCCUUGGGUGGCGAGUGGCGGACGGGUGAGGAAUACAUCGGAAUCUACUCUGUCGUGGGGGAUAACGUAGGGAAACUUACGCUAAUACCGCAUACGACCUACGGGUGAAAGCAGGGGAUCUUCGGACCUUGCGCGAUUGAAUGAGCCGAUGUCGGAUUAGCUAGUUGGCGGGGUAAAGGCCCACCAAGGCGACGAUCCGUAGCUGGUCUGAGAGGACGAUACGCCACACUGGACCUGAGACACGGUCCAGACUCCUACGGGAGGCAGCAGUGGGGAAUAUUGGACAAUGGGCGCAAGCCUGAUCCAGCCAUACCGCGUGGGUGAAGAAGGCCUUCGGGUUGUAAAGCCCUUUUGUUGGGAAAGAAAUCCAUCUGGUUAAUACCCGGGUGGGAUGACGGUACCCAAAGAAUAAGCACCGGCUAACUUCGUGCCAGCAGCCGCAGUAA
RNAcentral lists this ribosomal RNA (506 nucleotides) under uncultured bacterium. Its description in RNAcentral is "partial 16S ribosomal RNA". It matches the Rfam family "Bacterial small subunit ribosomal RNA", at positions 29 to 523 of the family's 1533-position model. The record is from RNAcentral.